This 333-nucleotide ribosomal RNA is filed under the name Triticum aestivum (bread wheat). RNAcentral's name for it is "partial small subunit ribosomal RNA". The record is from RNAcentral. Lineage: Eukaryota; Viridiplantae; Streptophyta; Magnoliopsida; Poales; Poaceae.
AUGCCACGGCACUGCCAGUGUGGUGGUGACUGCUACCUGGUCGGCGGACCUGCUCUGUACAAUAUGGUGGAAGGGAAGAAGAAUUCUUGCCAACUUGAGGCAACAAUCUCCAUCGUCAACAACUCACAGGGCGCGCGCAUCGACCGGCGGCAUGAACCUCACCUUCCGCGCCUCGGGCGCAAGAACGGCCGGGCGGAACGGAGAAGUACAACGAACCUGGACGAAAACCUGUACAGAUCCAUCCUGGGAGACGGCCACGGCGGCGCCGCCACAGAGCUCUCGAGUCGACGAGUCAACCAUAGUCGGAGAGUGAUCAUAAAAAAAAAACCAUAG